GAAUCAAAGAAGGUAAUAAUCCUGUAGUCGAAAAUGUUGUCUCUCUUGAGUGGAUCCUGAGUACGACGGAACACGUGAAAUUCCGUCGGAAUCUGGGAGGACCAUCUCCUAAGGCUAAAUACUCUCUAGUGACCGAUAGUGAACCAGUACCGUGAGGGAAAGGUGAAAAGCACCCCGGAAGGGGAGUGAAAUAGAACCUGAAACCGUGUGCUUACAAGUAGUCAGAGCCCGUUAAUGGGUGAUGGCGUGCCUUUUGUAGAAUGAACCGGCGAGUUACGAUUUGAUGCAAGGUUAAGCAGUAAAUGUGGAGCCGUAGCGAAAGCGAGUCUGAAUAGGGCGUUUAGUAUUUGGUCGUAGACCCGAAACCAGGUGAUCUACCCUUGGUCAGGUUGAAGUUCAGGUAACACUGAAUGGAGGACCGAACCGACUUACGUUGAAAAGUGAGCGGAUGAACUGAGGGUAGCGGAGAAAUUCCAAUCGAACCUGGAGAUAGCUGGUUCUCUCCGAAAUAGCUUUAGGGCUAGCCUCAAGUGAUGAUUAUUGGAGGUAGAGCACUGUUUGGACGAGGGGCCCCUCUCGGGUUACCGAAUUCAGACAAACUCCGAAUGCCAAUUAAUUUAACUUGGGAGUCAGAACAUGGGUGAUAAGGUCCGUGUUCGAAAGGGAAACAGCCCAGACCACCAGCUAAGGUCCCAAAAUAUAUGUUAAGUGGAAAAGGAUGUGGCGUUGCCCAGACAACUAGGAUGUUGGCUUAGAAGCAGCCAUCAUUUAAAGAGUGCGUAAUAGCUCACUAGUCGAGUGACACUGCGCCGAAAAUGUACCGGGGCUAAACAUAUUACCGAAGCUGUGGAUUGUCCUUUGGACAAUGGUAGGAGAGCGUUCUAAGGGCGUUGAAGCAUGAUCGUAAGGACAUGUGGAGCGCUUAGAAGUGAGAAUGCCGGUGUGAGUAGCGAAAGACGGGUGAGAAUCCCGUCCACCGAUUGACUAAGGUUUCCAGAGGAAGGCUCGUCCGCUCUGGGUUAGUCGGGUCCUAAGCUGAGGCCGACAGGCGUAGGCGAUGGAUAACAGGUUGAUAUUCCUGUACCACCUAUAAUCGUUUUAAUCGAUGGGGGGACGCAGUAGGAUAGGCGAAGCGUGCGAUUGGAUUGCACGUCUAAGCAGUAAGGCUGAGUAUUAGGCAAAUCCGGUACUCGUUAAGGCUGAGCUGUGAUGGGGAGAAGACAUUGUGUCUUCGAGUCGUUGAUUUCACACUGCCGAGAAAAGCCUCUAGAUAGAAAAUAGGUGCCCGUACCGCAAACCGACACAGGUAGUCAAGAUGAGAAUUCUAAGGUGAGCGAGCGAACUCUCGUUAAGGAACUCGGCAAAAUGACCCCGUAACUUCGGGAGAAGGGGUGCUCUUUAGGGUUAACGCCCAGAAGAGCCGCAGUGAAUAGGCCCAAGCGACUGUUUAUCAAAAACACAGGUCUCUGCUAAACCGUAAGGUGAUGUAUAGGGGCUGACGCCUGCCCGGUGCUGGAAGGUUAAGAGGAGUGGUUAGCUUCUGCGAAGCUACGAAUCGAAGCCCCAGUAAACGGCGGCCGUAACUAUAACGGUCCUAAGGUAGCGAAAUUCCUUGUCGGGUAAGUUCCGACCCGCACGAAAGGCGUAACGAUUUGGGCACUGUCUCAACGAGAGACUCGGUGAAAUCAUAGUACCUGUGAAGAUGCAGGUUACCCGCGACAGGACGGAAAGACCCCGUGGAGCUUUACUGUAGCCUGAUAUUGAAAUUCGGCACAGCUUGUACAGGAUAGGUAGGAGCCUUUGAAACGUGAGCGCUAGCUUACGUGGAGGCGCUGGUGGGAUACUACCCUAGCUGUGUUGGCUUUCUAACCCGCACCACUUAUCGUGGUGGGAGACAGUGUCAGGCGGGCAGUUUGACUGGGGCGGUCGCCUCCUAAAAGGUAACGGAGGCGCUCAAAGGUUCCCUCAGAAUGGUUGGAAAUCAUUCAUAGAGUGUAAAGGCAUAAGGGAGCUUGACUGCGAGACCUACAAGUCGAGCAGGGUCGAAAGACGGACUUAGUGAUCCGGUGGUUCCGCAUGGAAGGGCCAUCGCUCAACGGAUAAAAGCUACCCCGGGGAUAACAGGCUUAUCUCCCCCAAGAGUUCACAUCGACGGGGAGGUUUGGCACCUCGAUGUCGGCUCAUCGCAUCCUGGGGCUGUAGUCGGUCCCAAGGGUUGGGCUGUUCGCCCAUUAAAGCGGUACGCGAGCUGGGUUCAGAACGUCGUGAGACAGUUCGGUCCCUAUCCGUCGUGGGCGUAGGAAAUUUGAGAGGAGCUGUCCUUAGUACGAGAGGACCGGGAUGGACAUACCUCUGGUGUACCAGUUGUCGUGCCAACGGCAUAGCUGGGUAGCUAUGUGUGGACGGGAUAAGUGCUGAAAG
Molecule: ribosomal RNA, 2421 nt
Filed under: Staphylococcus aureus
Lineage: Bacteria; Bacillati; Bacillota; Bacilli; Caryophanales; Staphylococcaceae
Description: partial 23S ribosomal RNA
Rfam family: Bacterial large subunit ribosomal RNA
Source: RNAcentral